This is a long non-coding RNA of Chinchilla lanigera (long-tailed chinchilla), 959 nucleotides long. RefSeq lists it as uncharacterized. The record is from RefSeq and is a predicted model, not a curated record. NCBI's taxonomy places the organism in Eukaryota, Metazoa, Chordata, Mammalia, Rodentia, Chinchillidae. The transcript is spliced from 3 exons.
GGUCUGAGUUUGAAGUCAUGGGCAGGAUAAAAUGCAUAACUCAUUAUGAAUUCUUUUCUGUAAAUCAGAUUCAUUCGCUUUUGUUUUUGAAGCAGAACAUAGAGUACACCUAUGCUCUGUGACCAAGGAAGACUUGUUCCAGGGCCCUCCCUCCGGAACCAGAAUGCUCAGCUGCUCAAGUUCCUUAUGUAAAGCAGGGUGGUAUUUGCACAUAGCCUGUGAACAUCCACACACUUGAAGUAACCAUUGGAUUACUUCACGAGCGCCAGAUGAAAAAACUAAGGCUCAGAGGGAUUAAUUAACCUCCUCAAGGUCCCACAGCAAGUCAAAUACUUGAGUGUGUCUCAGUUCAACUUAGACCUUUUCGCUACACCAUGAAGCAUGCAGAGAGAUUCAAAGACACUGUUCCCGCUGUUUUGUCCUGCAGCGCAAACUCGGUUGACCUUCAGAAUACACCAUUCCCCUGCCAACCUUCCUCAAACCCCACCCAGAUGACUCACCAAAAACCAGAAGGCAGCAUCACUAGAGAAAGUCACAGAAACACUCCGAAGCUUUUCAAACCUCCCAGGCAAAGCGACCUAGCUCUGGGGGUUAGAUGCCAUCCACCAAGGGGUGUUUAGGAAUGUGUUAACAAUUCCCCAGAGAAGUCGGCAGGCUGGCCUGCUCCUGACUGAUGGUGCUGUCAUCUGCCGUUCCUUCCCGCUGUUCAGCAGUGCCUUCCACAGAGCGCGUUAUGAAGAUGGAUGGCAUCGUAACGCUACACCCAAGGAACUGGCACGAUGUCAGCGAGAAUUCUGCGCGCCACUCUAUUGUUCAUUACACUUCACAAUCACUUGUUAUUAAAUGAAAAUGAAUUUGCCAUUAGGGACUAGAUACUAUUUAAUAACUGCUCGGCAGUGUUUCAUGAUUAAAUUUCUUUCGCCUUUGUAAGUAGCUCAGCAGCCACGUGAGUAAAUGUC